Molecule: long non-coding RNA, 200 nt
Organism: Telopea speciosissima
Lineage: Eukaryota; Viridiplantae; Streptophyta; Magnoliopsida; Proteales; Proteaceae
Exons: 3
Source: RefSeq, a predicted model, not a curated record
ACCAAAUUUCCCGCUAGAACAUUCAAUGUUGUGGGAAACCCUCUAUUAUGUGGAGGCCAUUCUACUGAAGCUUACUGUGGAACACACAUGCCUAUUCCGCUUUCCUUCUCUCUAGAUUCAUCACAGAGAAAAUCCAAGAAUAUGAAAGUAGUUGUUGCAAUUAGUGCUAGCCUUUGCUCUGCCUUUCUUAUUCUACUAAC